CUCAUCCUUUUCCACAGAUUUGCCUUUUGCUUUCUCUGGAGAUGAAAAUUCGCAGCAUUGUACGUUUACUCACAGCUCUCCCACACAGCAGACAAAGAAACCCUAUCGUUGCUGCUAAAUCCAUGACAUUUCUCGACGCCCCACGGCGGGCCUUUUCAACUGCGCUACCAGAGAGCCAAGAGCUGAAGGAAUUCACGGAUUACAUGGAGAAACUCAACAACUACGAAAAAACCGGCGUUCCUAAAGGCGCCGGCACCGAUUCCGACGACGGAUUCGAUUUAGGUAGAAUGAGGAGAUUACUGCACAAUCUCGGCAAUCCCCAGUCCAAAUUCAAGGCUGUACAUAUUUCUGGUACGAAAGGGAAAGGAUCCACUGCUGCAUUUCUUUCCAGCAUUUUACGCGCGGAAGGGUUCUCUGUUGGUUGCUAUUCGAGUCCACAUAUUCGAACUAUUAGAGAGCGUAUAACACUGGGACCAGGUGGGGAGCCGGUUUCAGCAAAGGCUUUGAGUUCUCAUUUCCUCAAAAUAAAGGAGCUUAUUGACAUGACUGUAGAACUUGAAGAAGGGCAGCUAACUCAGUUUGAGAUUCUAACCGCUGUAGCGUUCAGCCUAUUUGCUGAAGAGAAGGUUCAUUUUGCAGUUAUUGAGGCUGGAUUAGGUGGAGCUCGGGAUGCAACUAAUGUACUUACUAGUUCCGAUCUGGCUGCGUCUAUAAUUACAAAUAUAGGUACAGAUCAUCUAGCUGCACUUGGUGGCUCUUUGGAGAGUAUUGCAGUGGCUAAAUCGGGAAUAAUCAAAGAACAGCGUCCACUGGUUCUAGGCGGUCCAUUUCUUCCACAUAUUGAACGUAUUAUUCGUGACAAGGCAUUAUCUAUGCGUUCACCUGUAAUAUCAGCAUCUGAUCCUGGAAAUAGAAGUGUUCUCAAAGGUUUUUCAACAGCAUGUGAUAUGCCCCGCCAAUUAUGUGAUAUUCUGCUCCUAAUCGAGAGGGACCUGCAAUUGUUCAUUGAGUUGUUUGAUGUACAAUUACGCCUUCUUGGCUCUCACCAGCUUCAGAACGCUGCUACUGCUACCUGUGCAGCACUUUGCCUUCGUGGUCAAGGAUGGAAAUUAUCGGAGAGAUCUAUACGUGUUGGUUUAGAAUGUGCAUGUUUGCUCGGUAGAAGCCAAUUUUUAACAUCCAAGGAAGCCGAGAUGCUAGGGUUUCCCGGAGCAACUAUACUGCUUGAUGGAGCUCACACCAAAGAAUCUGCACAAGCUUUGUUAACCAUGAUUAAGAUGGCAUUUCCCGAGUCAAGAUUGGUUCUUGUGGUGGCUAUGGCCAAUGAUAAAGAUCAUUUAGGUUUUGCGAGAGUGCUACUUUCGGCUGGAUGUCUCGAAGCUGUAUGUUUAACCGAAAUUGAUAUUGCUGGAGAAAGAUUCCGUACGACUUCAUCAUCCUCGUUAAAAGAAUCUUGGAUUCAAGCAUGUGGAGAAAAUGGUGCUGAUUUUCUUGAAUGCAAAACGGUCAAAGAUGAAUUGAUUGAGCGUCGUUGUACUAAAUCAAUUUUAUUCAUGGAGGGUUCGUUAAUGGCUUCGAUUAAAUUCGGAAAUCACAUCCUCACUGCAAAAUCUGGAUCCAAAAAUGGGAUAAUUGUAGUUACUGGAUCUUUGCAUAUUGUUUCGGCUGUUUUAGGUUCACUCGAAGGAUAAGCGAAUAUUUGCUAUUCGCUCUUUAACGAAAUUUUUGUUUUUAUAUUUGUUGUAAAACCUUGACUGUAAAUUUUUGGUUAUUGGUUUACGGAAUAGGUUAAGGUAACAAUUUGUUCGAUUAUCGUCAACACAUUAUAAGGUGGGGACACUUUUGUACUUCUGCCUAGAGUCUACUGUUUUCCAUUUUGUUAUUUACGGGUUUCUGCAUUUACCAGGUAUGCUUUCAAUAAUUUGCACUGUUCCUACCUAAUUUUUAAAGAUAAUUACUUUUCACUCUCUUAUUGCCGAUAAUCCUUACAGCAAUUCUUACUUCUCUCUGACUUAGAAGAUUAAUUUCUCAACCUUGCGAUUGUAACAUUUAUGCGACGGAAUGGCAUGGAGUCACUUUCUAGAUGUCAAACCAACGUACAUUUUUGGGUAAUGAUUUGGUGUUUGGUGCCAUUCAAAAUUUUGAUUUGUAAAAGGGGGGAUGCAUCAAUACCUGCUGCAAUGUAAGAUGGUGACUUCACAUCUAAACGGGCCAUGUAAAAUCUAUUUAGCAAUCAAGGAGGUGGGCCCCACCAUCAAAGGCUUCUUCUGAUCAGGCAAGCAUGUAGUCACCGGACACCCGCUCCAAAGCCUCGAUUUUUGUUACCGGCCGUUUCAAACAAACAACGUAGUAAGUUUUCAAAUGAGGUAAAGUCGUUAAAACACAUGGUAAAUUUUGUUGUCCUGCAUGCAGUAAUGGUGUUUCCGUCAUACAUUUUUGUGGGGCCCGCCGCCUUUAAUGGUGUUUUUUUUUUCGUCAGACUGUGUAAAUGAGUUAAAGACUGGAGAGGGAAAUCCACCUACCUUAUUUACUUGAGUUUUCUGUUA
Molecule: non-coding RNA, 2546 nt
Organism: Erythranthe guttata (spotted monkey flower)
Lineage: Eukaryota; Viridiplantae; Streptophyta; Magnoliopsida; Lamiales; Phrymaceae
Source: RefSeq, a predicted model, not a curated record